AAUAUUGCACAAUGGAGGAAACUCUGAUGCAGCGACGCCGCGUGAACGAUGAAGGCUUNCGAGUCNUNAAGUUCUGUCCUAGGGGNCGAUAAUGACGGUACCCAAUGAGGAAGCCCCGGCUAACUACGUGCCAGCAGCCGCGGUAAUACGUAGGGGGCAAGCGUUGUCCGGAAUUACUGGGCGUAAAGGGUGCGUAGGCGGCCAAUUAAGUCAGAUGUGAAAUACCACGGCUCAACUGUGGGGGUGCAUUUGAAACUGGUAGGCUUGAGUGCAGGAGAGGAAAGUGGAAUUCCUAGUGUAGCGGUGAAAUGCGUAGAGAUUAGGAGGAACACCAGUGGCGAAGGCGACUUUCUGGACUGUAACUGACGCUGAGGCACGAAAGCGUGGGGAGCGAACAGG
This 399-nucleotide ribosomal RNA is filed under the name uncultured bacterium. RNAcentral describes it as "partial 16S ribosomal RNA". It matches the Rfam family "Bacterial small subunit ribosomal RNA", at positions 360 to 776 of the family's 1533-position model. The record is from RNAcentral.